Molecule: ribosomal RNA, 397 nt
Filed under: uncultured bacterium
Lineage: Bacteria
Description: bacterial SSU rRNA
Rfam family: Bacterial small subunit ribosomal RNA
Source: RNAcentral
GACGAACGCUGGCGGCGUGCUUAACACAUGCAAGUGGAGCGACGAACCAGGCUUCGGCCUGGGGCAGAGCCGCGAACGGGUGAGUAACACGUGGGUAACCUGCCCCGAUGACCGGGACAACCCGAGGAAACUCGGGCUAAUACCGGAUGUGGUGCCUUCACAUCAGUGAAGUCACUAAAGGUAGCUUCGGCCUCCGCAUCGGGAUGGGCCCGCGGCGCAUUAGCUUGUUGGUGGGGAACGGCCUACCAAGGCGACGAUGCGUAGCUGGUCUGAGAGGACGAUCAGCCACACUGGGACUGAGACACGGCCCAGACUCCUACGGGAGGCAGCAGUGGGGAAUCUUGCGCAAUGCGCGAAAGCGUGACGCAGCAACGCCGCGUGGGGGAAGACGGCCUGG